This 253-nucleotide ribosomal RNA is filed under the name uncultured bacterium. RNAcentral's name for it is "partial 16S ribosomal RNA". It matches the Rfam family "Bacterial small subunit ribosomal RNA", at positions 524 to 776 of the family's 1533-position model. The record is from RNAcentral.
UACGAAGGGGGCUAGCGUUGCUCGGAAUCACUGGGCGUAAAGGGUGCGUAGGCGGGUCUUUAAGUCAGAGGUGAAAUCCUGGAGCUCAACUCCAGAACUGCCUUUGAUACUGAAGAUCUUGAGUUCGGGAGAGGUGAGUGGAACUCCGAGUGUAGAGGUGAAAUUCGUAGAUAUUCGGAAGAACACCAGUGGCGAAGGCGGCUCACUGGCCCGGUACUGACGCUGAGGUGCGAAAGCGUGGGGAGCAAACAGG